UUAAUAAUAUACCUUCGAGUCUUUUUGCCUAAGGAAUUUUCUAUGGGAAUUAGACCGCUGGGUUGAGGAAUAAAUGACUCAGCCUCCCGUGCUUGGAAAGAAGAGUAAAUUUAAAGGAG
Non-coding RNA from Halanaerobium kushneri, 119 nucleotides. NCBI's taxonomy places the organism in Bacteria, Bacillati, Bacillota, Clostridia, Halanaerobiales, Halanaerobiaceae. The record is from Rfam.